GGGCAGUUGUGUUUCGUGGCUGAAACUACGGUGAGGUGCACCAAUAAUCCGUGAGGCUGGUUCGACUCCAGCACUGUCCA
This 80-nucleotide transfer RNA is filed under the name Bacteroides thetaiotaomicron. RNAcentral describes it as "tRNA-OTHER". RNAcentral also lists the same sequence under 1 other name. The record is from RNAcentral. Lineage: Bacteria; Pseudomonadati; Bacteroidota; Bacteroidia; Bacteroidales; Bacteroidaceae.